CUCAUUUAUUCUUUCAUUUUCCAUCUUCCUUUGCCUUCAAGUGUCAAUUGGCUCCUCUCAGUCACAGCUGUACAAAUCACAGAACCCUUUUUUUUUUAAUUGGCAGAAGACAUAUACAUUAUUCAUCUAUUCAUUUCCAUCUAAUGGAAAUCCAAAAAAGACAAUUUUAUUUUCCAACAAAACAUUUAAAGCUGCUUUUCCGCCCCAUGAGAAACAGGACACAAGACUCCAUCCAUGGUCUAUUUGGAUCCUGAAUGAACAAAGUCUGGCUUCUCCUCAGAAUGAAACACACUGCUCCCAGCCAGUGAACUCAGCCUACUUUCUCCUAGUGUAAUUUUAGACUGCACAGGAAACACUCAAGACUGAAGAAGUCGGAAUGUGACCUUUUACCUGAAAUGAUACUGGCAACACUGGCAUGUGCCACCAGUGACGUGGACCAGAGCUGACAGGCACGCUUCGCUCAGCAAAGCUCCUUUUCAUUUGACCUGCUAUCUAUCCCUGUAGUUGUGCAAUGUCCUACAAUUACUUCGGACAUCAUUCAUUUUAAAACAAGGCAUACCAUACUUUUAUAAUCUACUCCUUUUAAAAGGAAUUGUAAAAAUGCUACCAUAGUUUUGUUAUCCCUGAUUGAAGAUGCAAAUCGAUUAAUGAAGUGGCAGUCCAGCAGGGUUAUCCUCACCAUAGGUGGCUACAUCAUCCUUGAAAUGCCAAUACUUUGGCCACCUGAUGCGAAGAGCUGACUCAUUUGAAGGGACCCUGAUGCUGGGAAAGAUUGAAGGCAGGAGGAGAAGGGGAUGACAGAGGUCACACAGGUGGGAUGACUCUAUUGUCAUCAAUAUGCAACUCUUCUCUUUGGCCCAGGGAAGGUUCAAUAUGGGGCUAUUUCAAAGCUGUGGAAGGCAGGUGUGAAUAGAAAAUAUUCAAUGAUUUUCAAACACAUACAAAACUCCUCACAUACCAUUGGCUAGAAAUGAGUUGCGAAGCAAACUUACUCCCAAAGAAAGCUGAGGGGAUAUAGUGACUAGGUAGGCAACCGUGUACCCUGCUAAUACUUAUGGGUGGGUUGGGGGAGGGCUGUGCAGGGGGAGAAUUGGAUAUUUUGUUAGAAAAAGAAAGAAAAAAACAGUUAUUAGUAUAACAUCACUCUCUUCCAUGUCUACCCCUCGGUCCAAUAUCCAUGUCUCCCCUUAUUUCUGCAAAUAGAUCACACAACCUAAGUGGAAUUCUAAUCUAUUGUCUUCCAUGUGAAAGAAACAGUAGCCAAAGACCUCUCUGGCCACAGCUCUUGAACCAAGAUUCCUCUUUUUUUUGUUUUUUACUAGCCUCUCUAUUUAUCCUUUCCCUCUUUGCUUCUAUUUCAUGUUGGCUACCUUUAGUGGCAGCCAUUUGAAACAGUUAAGAAGGCAGUGCCUUUUAUCCAGUCUUUGUUUCGGGCUGAUUUCCAUUUUCUGGCCAAGGAAAAUACUUAACAGAAGGUCCACAAGAAAGACCUCCAUCAUCAAACUUAUCUACUGUUGUCUGGGGACACAGAUCUUCCAACCUUUCAUGGUCCAAACUUAAGCUCUAAGAUAUAUAAGAUUGCAAUCCAUAAAUGAGAAAACCUCCCUCAUUAGAGCUAUAUUCCCUUCUAUCUCCACUUACUGACCAAUAAUUACCUGACUUCCCUUUCCUCUUAUAAUACAUUAUUAACAGUAGUGAGUGCUAAUCAAUGUAUACCUAUACUCUUAAUUGCUCUCCUUGAGCUAAAGGUCAUGAGGCCAAUGACCUGUCUUUCCAAUUAUAAUAGCUAACUGUCUUAGCAAAUGCUAUGUCACAGAGUAACAAGUGCUACCAGUGUUUCUAAAUGAAAUACUGUGCCUAUGUCACCUCUGCCUGUUGCUAUUCAAUGUCACAAAAUUCAGGGUUUUUUUAAUGCUUACAUAUCAUUUCUGGAACCAAUUUCUGUAUUAAUUGGAUACACGCUUAUUCAUUCCUUUUAAGCAAAUGUUACUGUUCAGUUGUCUCAGAUAGUUCCAAAAUUAUAUGAUUAGGGAACUUUUUGCUUUUUAACCUAGGUCUCUAGUUCUCUUCUUGUUUGUUACACAAUCUGAUGCUUAAAAAUAUUACACAGCAAUGUCCUUGAACUUUUUCAGUUGUACUGCCAGAUCCUGUGUACUUGUUUAAUUUUCACCUUUAAAUUUGUGAUGUGUUAGUUAUAGUUAUGACCAACCUAGAUAGCACUUUAAAAAGCAUUGACAUUACUUUGCCAACAAAGGUCUGUCUAGUCAA
Long non-coding RNA from Odocoileus virginianus texanus, 2268 nucleotides. RefSeq lists it as uncharacterized. The record is from RefSeq and is a predicted model, not a curated record. Lineage: Eukaryota; Metazoa; Chordata; Mammalia; Artiodactyla; Cervidae.